GAGCAGCUUUCCUCACCGGAAGAUUAGAGGCCAGCUGAGCCCCUCAGAUGAAAAUGAAAACUGCUUAAACAAAGUGCACCGUUGUCUGGAAGCGAGUCACAUGCUGGGGCCAAACGGAGGUAAUUAAAGCUUGCAGUUGCUUUUUAAAUGCCGGCAGCAGUGACAGUUUGGGAACUGUGAGUGCUACUUCACCUUGAAUACCUUUGACUGUGCCAGCCAUGUCUAUGAUCUCAGGAGUUCCACCAUCAGCCACUCACCAUAACCCGACCAGAUUUUUAUGUAGUGUGGCUCCUCUUUGUGUUCCAUGCACCGUACAGCUCUCUUUUUGGUCACCUCCUGAUGCUUCCAUUUCCUCAGGCUUGUUUUUCACAUUACACUGAACACAGGGACAAGCCAUUUCUGCGCCAUGUACAAGCGUUUGGGUGAAGGAAUGAGCACUUGUUGAUUUGCGCAGCUCAGCUAUUGUAUAUACUGACUGUGCACUUGUUGAACUUCAAGCACAAAUAACUGUAUGAGUGUGCAGCUGAACUAUUGUGUGCACAAGUACACAGACUGUGCAUUUGUUGAACGUAAUGUACGAGCACCACUCUCGCUAAAUGUACAUCCUCUGUGAGCAUCAUAUAACAGGUAUUCUGCAGAAACUGGGCUACCACAAUCCUCACAGUUUAGCUGCUAUUAAUGCUCUUUGACUUCAACCUUCCCAUAUGUGUGUUUGGUUAUCUGGCCUCCUCCAGACAGCCUCCUCAUUGAGCAUUCAUCCUGACCUGCUUACACAACGCUGACCCAGAGGUUAUAAUAUUUCUGAUCUUUAUUUGAGCAUUCAUUUUAAUGUGUUUGCAGAGAGGUUAUACAACAAUGAACAGUCCUCCUGAUAUGCCACGCUUUUCAGAGCACUUCCUUGUAACUUUCCUAACAACAAGAAGUUAAUUUCUUUUUUAAAACUGCCAUAGAGCACUUCCAUCCACUGGUAUAUGCUUGUAUCUUUCCUGCAAAAUACUGACAGUCAUAGAUCAGAUAAAUCAACAAGCAGUUUGAUCAAACUGCUUGUUGAUUUAUCUGAUCUAUGACAUCAUGUGGAUUUAGCAAAAAAUAAUUAUCCCAGUAGUGAUGUAUGGAAGUGAAAGCUGGACGAUAAAGAAGGCUGAUCGGCGAGGAAUUGAUGCUUUUGCAUUAUGAUGCUGGAGGAGACUCUUGAGAGUCCUAUGGACUGCAAGAACAUCAAACCUCUCCAUUCUGAAGGAAAUCAGCCCUGAGUGCUCACUGGAAGGACAGAUCGUGUAGCUGAGGCUCCAAUACUUUGGCCACCUCAUGAAAAGAGAAGACUCCCUGGAAAAGACCCUGAUGUUGGGAAAGAUGGAGGGCACAAGGAGAAGGGGACGACAGAGGACGAGAUGGUUGGAUAGUGUUCUCAAAGCUACCAGCAUGAGUUUGACCAAACUGCGGGAGGCAGUGGAAGACAGAAGUGCCUGGCGUGCUCUGGUCCAUGGGGUCACGAAGAGUCGGACACGACUAAAUGACUAAACAACAACAACAAUUAUCCCACAAUGAACACCCAUCAGGAAAUAUCCUUAGAAACUUGCUCAGUGUCUCAUUCAUCCCAUUUAGCCAGUCUUGCCUUUCCAAUGCCAUUAAACUGUGCCUAUUUACUUGGAAGUAAGCCCCACUGUCUUCACGUAAAUCCCUUUGUAGCAAGGGUAUUUAGAAUUGCAGCCUAAGCCUCUCAGAAUCUCAAUCCUCCAUUGCCUAAUUUCCUUGAUGCUUAAAAGAAGGAAGGAUUGGUCUACCAACAAAAUAUUAUAAGCCUGUCGCACAAACCCAGUCCCCGUAUCAUUUGGGAGCCUGAGCUGUGGAUUAUGGCAAGCCUCUUGUCCAGAAGGAAUUGCCAUUGUUUUUGUUUUCUGUAAGUGGCUAACUGUAAGCCUGCCUGUCUUACCAGACAAGUCUGAGUAUGUUGACUCAGCAGAAAGGCUGCAAUCCUCACCACACUUUCCUGGGAGUACGUCCUAAAGUUGUGUUUUAAUUUAUAACUUUACUUUUUUAAAGUCUGGUGUUUAAAAAAAUGGCCAACAUCAGCACCAUUUACUUCCUCCUCCCCAGCCUUGUCUCAUAAACCGACCUUUCUUCAAUUUCUUUGGACACUAUGCAUUUCCUAUUUCAGGAUGUAAAGAGCUCAUUAUCUCCUGAUGUUCUUUUAAAAAAUAUAUUUUUCAUAGGUACAUCUUCCCUUCUUUUAUGUGUGGCAGGACAUCACAUGACUGACACCAGAUUGCCAUCAAUGCAAUUAUUGGACUAAUUUAAAUAAUGAAAGCAGUUUUUUAAAAAAAAAUGUAUGGAAAGGCCAGUUAAAGAACAGCAGAGAACAUUCACCACAAGAACACACAUCUAGCCAUCAAAUCCAGCUCACUUUUUUCAAUAAAAAAACAGCAUACCUGGCCAUUGCCUGUAGCCAUGGGCACAAGCAGUUCCAUAAUGGCGGCUUGUGUCCUUGCAUAUAUUGUUAAGCAACCCAGAUCAGUCACUAGCCACAGAUACAAGCAAGGGUUAACAAGUGGAAUCUUUUAUUAUCUUGCUCUGUUGUCUUGCCUUAGUGAAAACAGAGACUGCCCUUUUUCUCAGAGCUGCUACAAGUUCACAUAAACAGUUCUUAAUAUCAGAAACAAAGAGAAGGGAGGUUUUCUCAAGACUAGCCAGAGCAGGCUAUGUCUCACACAACUGGCGUGUGAAAACAUGGUUUUGUCUUUAGGACAACAGCAAGAGGUAUCAGCUGUUAUGAGCAGAACCAUCAUCACAGCUUAAUUACUAUAAUUACAUCGGUAUACCGACUUCCUUCCAAGAAGCUUGUGGUGGUGUCCAUUUAUCCCUCGGCACCUCCAUUAUUCUUGCAACCCCCCUGUGAGGUAGAUUUGGCAGAGAGAUGGUGGGGGACCCAAGAGAAGUUCGUGUUUGAGCAAAGCUCUGAAUCUGGUUGAAGUCUAAGGUGCCAUACUACAUUGGCUCUAGAACAUUAGUGACUAGAAUUCUGGGUCAGUAAACUGAGUUCAGCAUACUGAUGCAAGCAUUUCAUGCUCUUUUUUUAACAGCUAGCUACAGAUGACUGGAGGGACGCGGGUGGCGCUGUGGGUUAAACCACAGAGCCUAGGGCUUGCCGAUCAGAAGGUCGGCGAUUCAAAUCCCCGCGACGGGGUGAGCUCCCGUUGCUCGGUCCCUGCUCCUGCCAACCUAGCAGUUCCAAAGCAUGUCAAAGUGCAAGUAGAUAAAUAGGUACCACUCUGGCGGGAAGGUAAACGGCAUUUCUGUGUGCUGCUCUGGUUCGCCAAAAGUUGCUUAGUCAUGCUGGACACAUGACCUGGAAUCUGUACACCGGCUCCCUCAGCCAAUAAAGCGAGAUGAGUGCCGCAACCCCAGAGUCGGCCACGACUGGACCUAAUGGUCAGGGGUCCCUUUACCUUUACAGAUGACUGGGGAGGAUGUGCAAGGAACUGGAAAGAGGGACAAAGGAGUCGUGUGAACUUGGUGGAGAUCUGAAGAAGUUAGGUACUUUUACAGAAGAAAAUGAUGAACGCAAGGUGUGCACAGGGAAAAUAUCCAGGUUGUGUGCAUCCACUAUCUAUUUCAGAGGGUAUUUCUGCUUGUAAAAAGAUUACACCAGGCAUAGGCAAACUCGGCCCUCCAGAUGUUUUGGGACUACAACUCCCAUCAUCCCUAGCUAACAGGACAAGUGGUCAGGGAUGGUGGGAAUUGUAGUCCCAAAACAGCUGGAGGGCCGAGUUUGCCUAUGCCUGGAUUGCACUAACAGUAGGCAGCAAUUGCCUCUUGGUUCUUGCUUACGUCUAUUUAUACUUAGAGGAAAGCAUAGUAGUCACACUCUAUAGCAUAGAAAUGAGUGGUCAAGUAUAGUGCAAUCAUAAGCUGACAGAAUAUAUUGACACCUCCAAAUGUUUCUAAGAGCAGGCGCAGAAGCAUUUUCAAAGAUUUCGUGCGUGUGUGUGUUUGGGGAUCCAUUACAAAAGGAGAAACAGAGAAGAUUACCACAGCUGCUUUGGCAGUUAAAGUUCAUCUCACAAUAUGUCCAUCCCUAGGUGUAACCCAUGCAAUCUUCCAAGUGCCUCUAUUGCAGAUGUUACAUUGCUCACACAAGGCCACUUGUGUGAAUUAUGGUGAUUCGAUGGUGUUUAUGUUUGUAGCUGUAUGUUUAAAACAUUCCCACCAACCAAACAUUGCAAAGAAUAAUAAAGGAUAAAAAAACACAAGGGACAAAUAUCAGGCUGGGAUGCCUCCCACUUGCAUUAGUUUUACUCAUGGGGAAGUGCUCCAACUUGCAGUUAGCUAAAAAGAAUGCUUAUUGAGAUGUCUCCUGAGACUCUGUGGGGAAACUGAGGGACUGCCAACUUAUGACUGUUACCGCUUCUUUCCCUGCCAGCUGGAAGGUAGAGGGGGCCCCCAAAGCUUCCCUUACCACCACAACACUCAAAGGACUGGCCCACUGGUUACGACCCUAGAUUGUCCUAAGGAGGAAGAAGUAGCAGAACCACUGGACAUGUUACUUUCCUAGCCCCAUAGCCUUGAGAAAGGGGUUACUGGGUUGCCAUAGAAGCUGGGGAGACCCUGUUAUCAACCAGCCCAGCACACUGAGAUCAGACUGAAUUGUAAGGCUUAUGGCCAAUGUAGCACCAAGUACCUGUCUCACCCGUGCAGGGAUUUACACUUGUGCAACAGGAAUUCCCCCCUUCUCCCUCUCCACGUGUGCCUAACACCCUCCCCCAAAUCUUCUCUGGAGAGGUAAAUCCCCAGAACAGAUUUAGGGUUAAGAAAGGGGGGAAAGUUUUGUUGCAUGAGGGUAAAUCCUUGCACUGAUGGGGGGGGCUACUUAUCGCUAAUUGGAAAUAUGCCUCUGGUGAAGACCCCAACAUGGAGAAAGGCAUGGUGGACAUAAUUAAGAACAGGCUAUUACGCUUGUAUUUUGUUGAGGUUCUGGCCUGUAUUACUUGAAGGAAGUGAGUGUACCAUGUGACAAAGUCUCAACAGAGUUACUACACUCAGGUGUAUGUUGUCAGCAGUUUGGGCUCAUGGUGGGCAUAUUCCCCCAUUCAAUGUGCCAUUCCCCCAUGAUGUGCACUCUCACACACGCCUUUAAAAACGCAAUGAAUUCCAGGUUUUGUUUACUUUGAAUAUUCAUUUCAACUUUAUUUUACAUACAUCAUCAUAACCAUUAUUAAAUGAUUCAUAAUAAAAUCCCUGAAAACAACAAAAACAUCAACUCGAUAUCAUUUGUAUAAUUCCAUAAUUCACAUUUAUUGUUAUUGUAAAACACUGACGAAACAUAUCACAUCUUGCUUUUUUUUUAAUAUUAACCUUCUGUAUACUCAGGACACAAAGUUCCAGAAUAGCUGCACUGGAUACAAUUAUAGUAUUUCCAUCAUGAAAACACAAAGGUGCAAAUAUCAAAAGACAAAUUAAACAAGUGCAAAUGAAUGAAAGUGCAAAAAAGCUUCGGUUCCAUGAAAAUGCUUCUUCUGAAAACUCCGCCUCUGCCCUCUGCGAAAGCUGGUCCCUAAAACAAAGGGCAUUUGGGCAGGAUUUGUCACACCUACCUGACUUUUCCCUCCCUUCCCAUUUAGGGUGAACCCAACAGUCCCAGGGACCAUGGGGAAAGGAAGAAGAAAAGAUGGAGAUUGAUCAAGGGUUUUUGAAGACUUCCUGUCUUCCAUUGCACUCAAGCCCCAAAUAAGCCCUAAACAGUAAACCUGCCUUAUCAUUUUGAUUUGGACUUUUGCAUUUCAAAAGUGCUUGAAGUUGAUGUCGAAACUGGAUUUCUGGGGUGGGAAUAAUCAAGGGUAAUCAAGGGUGCAGAGGAAGGAAUGCACAUUCCUGUUCUGGCUGCGACUCAGCAACAGGAACAUCCAUCUUUGAGCAACAUUAUGUCAUUUCUGCAGCGUGAAAGGGAUCCUUAGCUGGCCCACACAUCUGCAAUGAGUACCGGAUCUCCUGAUAAAGAGUUCCUAAAGGAGUAUGAGUCUUGGGCUAGCAGUUAAGAAGGCCUUUUAAAGUGAAGAGUUUUCUAGGCAGUAAAUUCACAUUUGUUCCACACAGCCUACCCAGAUUUCAAGCUAACACAAUGACAUUUUCUGAGCAAUCAAACCAAACUAUUUUGUAGCGAAGAAGAAAAUGCAUCCCCCCCCCCCAGAUAAUACACUCACUGCUAGAGGUCCUGAUCCACUUAGGGAGAAAUUCAUGUGCAGCUGCACAAGGAACUGUGCAAGCAAAAGUUCUCUUGCUUUUUUUUGCUUGCUAGCCUGAUACUGCAGUGAGGGCUACUCAUGAAUAAACCCAAUCAGUAACUGAACUAUAGCACCAACCAGCUUGGGGCAGUAAACAUGGCACCUGUCAAAUCCUGCACUACAACUCACAUCAUCCCUUAUCAUUGGGCAAUGCUGUCUGGGGUGAUGGGAGUUGUAGUCCAACAAUAGAUAACUGUUUGCUGCAUAUAUACAUGACUGGAUUGUGGCAAUUGUGAGCAAUGAUACUGCUUGAGACUGGGGAUAGCUUGCAUCUUAAUUACAGAUGAGUAACAACUCUCACACACCCCUCCUGCCAUACACACUAGCCUUCACCAUAUUGUGAACUGAUUCUUUAUAAUGUAAUGUGUUUUUAACAAAAAUAAAAAUGAAAAACCUUUAGAGGUUAUGCGGUCCCUGCUCUAUACCCCUCUACGGUACAACUCAGCCAUGAUUCAGUGUAAGAUUAGGUGUGCUUCAACCCAUGGAUUUUCAUGGGUUAAGAAGCUAGUGUCCUCAACACAAGGAUCCCUCUGCAAACAAGUAAUUCUAAUGUCUUUCUCCCAGAUUUUCUGGCUUGAUUUUUUAUGAAAUCUGAUGUUCCGUAUCACAGAGUGACUCCAGAAUUAGUGUCAGGGUUUUACUGAUUCCCAUCAGUUCUUAACAAGAACAGGGAUCUAAAUCUCUUAAUGGGCUACAUAAAUCAUUCCAGCAACAACAAUGCAAAGAAUAAUUAGAAGAGCUCUCUGUGCAGCACCCUUGUGAAGUCAUUGUAACCUUUACUCUGUAUAAGCAUCACUCAGUAUAUUGCCAUUAGCAAAUCUGGGGGGGGGGGGAGUGCUCCUCGGCCCCUGGGAUUGGUGCCUGGCUGAUUGUCUCGCUUGGUCUUAGAAGAAAUGACCUCAAGCCUACUAAGGAGGAAUUGACUAGGAUACAAGUACAGAACCUGAGGACUGAUGGGAGUAUUCUGCUCAGGAGGCAUUUUAGCUGCCAUUAGCUCCCCGCAAAAAGGAGCUAUUAUUUAGAUGCUUGAGACAAAAUAACUCCAAUGGUGUUUCAGCUAAUACAUAAUUCUACUGACAACAGUAGUGCCAGAGCGGGAAAUGACCUACUGAGGUGAGGUUCUGAGAACCAGUCUGGUGCUUCUCUUAGUUCUCCAGUAUUCCUAAACAUAAGGAAAACGACAGUGGUAAAUGGAACUGGACAUACAAGCAGUAUAAAAUGGGCUGCCUUAUAUAUUGCAAGAUCCAUCUAGGGUUCUGCCAUUGGCAGAAGCUCUCUAGGGCCUCUGGCCAAGGUCUUCAGCAGCCCUGCCACUUGGAGGUGCCAAAGGUUUCAAGACAGAAUCUGGCAAGGCCCAGGCUGCCUCCUCUCUGACACUCGCUGCCUUUCUGAGCAAAUGUUUGGCAGCAACAUGCACAGAAAUAGCAAUGAGCAAACACAGGAAAGGUAGUUUCAUUUUAACCCUCCCUCACAUACAUGCACGGG
This 7763-nucleotide long non-coding RNA is filed under the name Podarcis lilfordi (Lilford's wall lizard). Lineage: Eukaryota; Metazoa; Chordata; Lepidosauria; Squamata; Lacertidae. The record is from RNAcentral.